This 467-nucleotide ribosomal RNA is filed under the name uncultured bacterium. Its description in RNAcentral is "bacterial SSU rRNA". It matches the Rfam family "Bacterial small subunit ribosomal RNA", at positions 333 to 793 of the family's 1533-position model. The record is from RNAcentral.
AGCAUCCUACGGGAGGCAGCAGUGGGGAAUAUUGCACAAUGGGCGCAAGCCUGAUGCAGCCAUGCCGCGUGUAUGAAGAAGGCCUUCGGGUUGUAAAGUACUUUCAGCAGUGAGGAAGGUGGGUAUGUUAAUAGCAUACUCAUUUGACGUUAGCUGCAGAAGAAGCACCGGCUAACUCCGUGCCAGCAGCCGCGGUAAUACGGAGGGUGCGAGCGUUAAUCGGAAUUACUGGGCGUAAAGCGCAUGCAGGUGGUUUGUUAAGUCAGAUGUGAAAGCCCGGGGCUCAACCUCGGAAUUGCAUUUGAAACUGGCAAACUAGAGUACUGUAGAGGGGGUAGAAUUUCAGGUGUAGCGGUGAAAUGCGUAGAGAUCUGAAGGAAUACCGGUGGCGAAGGCGGCCCCCUGGACAGAUACUGACACUCAGAUGCGAAAGCGUGGGGAGCAAACAGGAUUAGAUACCCUGAUAG